CUUGACUCUUGUCGGCCAUGUUUAAUUUUUCGUCACUUUCGAACUUGCAACGAGCGCCUGCAGACGCAUUCAAAUCUUCUCUCCACUUUUGGGAGCAGGAAUUCUGCUGAAAUUGCGGCGAUAAUCCUCAGUUAUGAUCCACAAACUCAUCUUUGGCAUUGCGCCUGUAAGAAAAAAACUUAAGUCUUCAACUGACUCUUCUCUGAUUCAGGAUUCGCCGUCAAUCAACAAUUUCCAGCUACAUAUAAUAUUUCACAGGAGUCUUGAGUACGCCCCUAGUUGACAACCCUUAAUGGCUUAGAUUGAUUGAAUCUUCAUAUUCAUUUAAAUAUCGUCGGGAUAAUGCCGCAAAUGCGACUAUUCGAGUGAGUCGGUGUAGAGAUAAAUUCAAUUCGAAUUUUGCAGUUAAACGAGCCCCGAGACUAGGCCGAACUUAGCGAAAUGCUUUCCUACUUGCGCUUCUUACGACUGAAUGAAUAUACAGAAAAUGGGCAGUCAUCAAACGGUUGCAUAGGGUUAUGGGGGGUAAACUAAUCAAGUUUUUGCUCUUUUAGGCCAAUUGCUAAGCUUUGCUCCAGAUUUAAUAUGAUACAUCAGUUGGAAUUAAGCAGAAAAUGCCAAGUUUUAAGCGCGUUGUAUAUGAUAAGCUGUUUAUUUACACGGGUGAUACAAGGGUUGGGGUGUCUAACAGAAUUUUGAUCCCAGAUUUGAUGAUUGGAUAUCGCUCGACAAAGAAAUUUCCAUAAACAUAUCAUGCUGUAGAAAGCAGAUCCGAUAACAAGUUGCUGAAACGAAAGCAGAACAGGUAGAACAUGGUUGCCCCUUUAAUUGUUUUUAUAGGAUGAUCAAGACAUGCGCGCAUUCAAUUCCUGUUUUGAAGAACGAAGAACCUGUCAAAGUCCAUUAGCCUAUAUACUGGAGUGAAAAUUCCUCGACUACAUAAAUUCCAGCUAGGGUAGGGUUACCUGAGUUAUAAUCUGCUGAUUGCAGUGUGUACGGGCGUCUUAUUUUGAACUGGCCUCAACUGCCUUGAGGAGUUAUCCAGAGAAUUGACAUCAAAAGCUUGAAGCGCGUCGUAUAUGAUAAGCUGUCUUGUUAAAAAUUGGGUAUAAGAAGGGUUGGGUCGUCUAACAGAAUUUUGAUCCCAGACUCUUCAUGAUUGGAUAUCGCUUGGCUAAGAAAAUUGCCGUCGUAUUUUAUGCUGUUGAAAACAGAAUUGAUAACAAGUUGCCGGAAAAUUUGAGAACAGGUAGCACAAUUGUUGCCCCUAACUCUAUUUUAUAGGAUUUUGAAGUCACUCGAGUUGAUGAAUGCAGAACCUGAGAAAGUCCGCUUGCCUUUAUAUACAGGAAUUAUUCCUCGGCUACAUAAAUUCCAGCAAGGGUAGGGUUUUCUGAAGUCUAAUCUGCUGAUUGCAGUGCACACGCGCCGCUUGUUUUGAACCCACCUCUAGGAAUUUUCCUGAUAAUUGACAGCACGAUUCCAUAUGUGCUCCUUACGCUUUUAGAUUCUACAGGUAAUGCUUGGAAGACCGAUUUGAAAGAUGGCAUAAGUGCUGCAUACAGUUUAUUCUACAUGAUUCCCUCAUUUUAAGUGAUAUCUGGAUAUUUAACAAACCAAUUUGGGAAGGGUGGGGAAUAGACUAAUCUUUUUGCAUUUUAGAGAGUUUGCUGCCCCUAAAACAUUUUUUGCUGCGAAAAAUUGAAGAUCACGCGCGACAAUUGUUAACCUUGCACGUAAGGAAUAAGCUUAAGCCUCACAACCGUAUUCUGUCGAGAUAGAUGGUCCUGACCAGUAUUACUGAUUCGAGAUGGAAAUGCACCCGGAAUUGCGAUUGCCUUAUAUUUAUUGUUUCUCCUUGCCGGACGUCACGAAAGAUUGCGAUAGAAAUGCCUCUUCGGGUAGCGGAAAGAGUUAUAUAUCUAAUUUGUGAGGUUUCAGCACAGCCACUAUCCGUGUAAUGACUGCAUAAAAGAAUCGUAGAGAAGAUGGUCUCCAACUUAAUGAGCGUGAAUAACUUAUGGAUAAGGAUGAUAUGCAAGGAGGGAGGGGAUUGGCUAAUUAUUUCUGCGGUUACAGUAGCGUCUACUUAUUGCGAAGACAGCAUUAUUUGUUGGAGGGACCUCCUGCCAUAGCUGCGAUGCUAGAUACGACUGGAGCCAGUUUAAAACAUCCCUGAUCCGGAUAAGGAUGGAACUUGGGUUGGGGGGGUAUUUUCGAUUAAAGAGCUUUUGUGAUAGGGAGAAACAUCCCCGGACAAGACCCUUCAGCUAUGGAGCAUCCCUCAAAAAUAGGAACCGUAACACUUCGAUCGACGCGCGGCGCGCUUAGCACCAAGUCCCUAUUCCAGACACGCGGAAGCAAGCUCCUGCAAUCCUUUUCGUACUUCGUGGCCCAAAUAUAGAGAACGACGGCCCAACUAGCGAUUCUGGUUUUUUAGAACAUUAUGUAGGCAGGGUAGAGUGGGGGGUACUAAUUUCUAUUUUUUCAGCUGCUUCCAUUUGCAGGUUGUUGAGCGUUAGCUGAUCCGAGCCUUUGAACAAAGUCGCGCGUAGUCAUUGGGCCCUUGUCUUUCCUGAGAGCGUUUUCCACUCCCGAGAGUCCCGGUCGUCAUAACCGCGAGCUGAAGGCAGUCCGUUCACACAUGCAUCCGAGUGGGGCUUAUCGAGAACCGAAGUAAUUCCAUGACUGGCUAGGCAGAGAAGUUGCGUUCGUCCAACCUACGAGAAGAUCUUAAAUCGUUCCACUAUCCGCGGAAAGUCUAAAAUCAUCAUGUUAAUCUAUUCGUCUUCGUCCGGAAAAGAAAAUCGAGAGAAA
Molecule: long non-coding RNA, 2817 nt
Organism: Neocloeon triangulifer
Lineage: Eukaryota; Metazoa; Arthropoda; Insecta; Ephemeroptera; Baetidae
Exons: 3
Source: RefSeq, a predicted model, not a curated record